AUCUUAUUUAAGAAAGUAAAGCUGCUUCUUUCACGAAAACAACUAUACAGUGGAAAAUUAUUAAAAAUGUUUUCCCAGCAAAUCAACACAAUUUAAAAGUAAAUAGCAAUAUUAGCAGCAUUCCAUCUAGUGCAAAAUAGAUCUUUCAAGCACAGUGGCCAAUGACCCUGGAGAAGUCUCCCAGGAAGGUUCUGGAACAGGUUCUUACAGGAAGGGCAGCCGAGAACAUCAAUGAUUAAAAGGGGGCUGAGGAGAGGAAACUGAUGGACAAAGAGGUGAGAAGUGGGAGAAAGAACGAAAAUCUGGAGGUUGGAGGGUAAACAAACCCACAUCCUUGUGGAUGAAGAAGGAUACCAAAAACUCAUUUUCCUGGAAGGAGCAAUUUUUGAAAUCAGCUACACUGAGGGCACUUUCGUGGCUGCCAGACUAAAGAUUAAUGGAGCACAACUCCAAAGGGUGCCAACAGGAAGCAACUAUACCCCCAAUCAUGUCAUCACCCCCUGCCUAUUUCAACCUGUCCUGGAGCUAGUUUAAUGUGCCAGCUCCCAUGGUUUUUCCAGUCAUUCUGCGGUAGAAGGAGACCGCAGCUGCAGAUUGAGUGAAGGUCUUUUCCAUGUGAAUUUGUCCUGCAUCUGGGAUAAAGGUAUAAUGAUUACCUAAAGCAUGUUCUGUUCAUGGAAGAUCACUGGAACACAAAAGACCAAGCUCACAGCAUAUUCAAGACAUCUGCUCGUAUUCCACUGGCCAAAGAAAGUGAUGUGGCCCAGCCUAAAGUCAGUGAAUGGAUGAGGAAAGGAAGGCAUGGAAAGUGGACUGGCAUGGCUAUGAGUUAGAAGCAGUCAGAGUUCAGUUCAGAAACCUCUGAAUUCAAGGCCAAGGCUCUGGGGACGAGGUUUUCCCCCAACAUCGGUAAGCUUUGGAAACUUUUUAAAAAGUGGAAGAAAAAGUGAUACCUAAUACAGUGCUGUCCACAUGAUAUGCAACCAAUACACAUUCAAUAAAUGAGUAAAUAUGAGAG
Molecule: long non-coding RNA, 1018 nt
Organism: Pan troglodytes (chimpanzee)
Lineage: Eukaryota; Metazoa; Chordata; Mammalia; Primates; Hominidae
Exons: 6
Source: RefSeq, a predicted model, not a curated record